UACGGGAGGCAGCAGUAGGGAAUCUUCCACAAUGGACGCAAGUCUGAUGGAGCAACGCCGCGUGAGUGAAGAAGGUUUUCGGAUCGUAAAGCUCUGUUGUUGGUGAAGAAGGAUAGAGGUAGUAACUGGCCUUUAUUUGACGGUAAUCAACCAGAAAGUCACGGCUAACUACGUGCCAGCAGCCGCGGUAAU
This 192-nucleotide ribosomal RNA is filed under the name uncultured bacterium. RNAcentral's name for it is "partial 16S ribosomal RNA". It matches the Rfam family "Bacterial small subunit ribosomal RNA", at positions 340 to 524 of the family's 1533-position model. The record is from RNAcentral. RNAcentral also lists the same sequence under 1 other name.